This 377-nucleotide ribosomal RNA is filed under the name uncultured bacterium. RNAcentral describes it as "bacterial SSU rRNA". It matches the Rfam family "Bacterial small subunit ribosomal RNA", at positions 521 to 896 of the family's 1533-position model. The record is from RNAcentral.
UAAUACGGGGGGUGCAAGCGUUGUCCGGAAUUACUGGGCGUAAAGGGCGUGUAGGCGGCUUAUUAAGUCAGAUGUGAAAGCCCACGGCUUAACCGUGGAACUGCAUUUGAAACUGGUAGGCUUGAGUAUGAGAAGGGGUAGUGGAAUUCCCAGUGUAGCGGUGAAAUGCGUAGAUAUUGGGAAGAACACCAGUAGCGAAGGCGGCUACCUGGCUCAUUACUGACGCUAAUGCGCGAAAGCGCGGGGAGCAAACAGGAUUAGAUACCCUGGUAGUCCGCGCCGUAAACGAUGGAUACUAGAUGUUGGUUGUUUUUUAACGAUCAGUGUCGCAGCUAACGCAUUAAGUAUCCCGCCUGGGGAGUACGAUCGCAAGGUUG